UACGGAAGGCAGCAGUGGGGAAUAUUGCACAAUGGGCGAAAGCCUGAUGCAGCUAUGCCGCGUGUAUGAAGAAGGCCUUAGGGUUGUAAAGUACUUUCAUCGGGGAGGAAAAAACAAAACUAAUAAUUUUAUUUCUUGACGUUACCCGAAAAAGAAGCACCGGCUAACUCCGUGCCAGCAGCCGCGGUAAUACGGAGGGUGCUAGCGUUAAUCAGAAUUACUGGGCGUAAAGAGCACGUAGGUGGUUUUUUUAAGUCAGAUGUGAAAUCCCUGGGCUUAACCUAGGAACUGCAUUUUGAAACUGAAAUACUAGAGUAUCGUAGAGGGGAGGGUAGAAUUCUAGGUGUAGCGGUGGAAAUGCGUAGAGAUGUGGAGGAAUACCGGUGGCGAAGGCGGCCCCCGUGGACAAAGACUGACGCUCAUGUGCGAAAGCGUGGGGAGCAAAACAGGGAUUAGAUACC
This 461-nucleotide ribosomal RNA is filed under the name uncultured bacterium. RNAcentral describes it as "bacterial SSU rRNA". It matches the Rfam family "Bacterial small subunit ribosomal RNA", at positions 340 to 786 of the family's 1533-position model. The record is from RNAcentral.